UAGGGAAUCUUCGGCAAUGGGGGCAACCCUGACCGAGCAACGCCGCGUGAGUGAAGAAGGUUUUCGGAUCGUAAAGCUCUGUUGUAAGUCAAGAGCGGGUGUGAGAGUGGAAAGUUCACACUGUGACGGUAGCUUACCAGAAAGGGACGGCUAACUACGUGCCAGCAGCCGCGGUAAUACGUAGGUCCCGAGCGUUGUCCGGAUUUAUUGGGCGUAAAGCGAGCGCAG
Molecule: ribosomal RNA, 228 nt
Filed under: uncultured bacterium
Lineage: Bacteria
Description: partial 16S ribosomal RNA
Rfam family: Bacterial small subunit ribosomal RNA
Source: RNAcentral